UUAAGUUAGAAAGGGCGCACGGUGGAUGCCUUGGCACUAGGAGCCGAUGAAGGACGGGACGAACACCGAUAUGCUUCGGGGAGCUGUAAGCAAGCUUUGAUCCGGAGAUUUCCGAAUGGGGAAACCCACCACUCGUAAUGGAGUGGUAUCCAUAUCUGAAUACAUAGGAUAUGAGAAGGCAGACCCGGGGAACUGAAACAUCUAAGUACCCGGAGGAAGAGAAAGCAAAUGCGAUUCCCUGAGUAGCGGCGAGCGAAACGGGACCAGCCCAAACCAAGAGGCUUGCCUCUUGGGGUUGUAGGACACUCUGUACGGAGUUACAAAGGAACGAGGUAGAUGAAGAGGUCUGGAAAGGCCCGCCAUAGGAGGUAACAGCCCUGUAGUCAAAACUUCGUUCUCUCCUGAGUGGAUCCUGAGUACGGCGGAACACGUGAAAUUCCGUCGGAAUCCGGGAGGACCAUCUCCCAAGGCUAAAUACUCCCUAGUGACCGAUAGUGAACCAGUACCGUGAGGGAAAGGUGAAAAGCACCCCGGAAGGGGAGUGAAAGAGAUCCUGAAACCGUGUGCCUACAAGUAGUCAGAGCCCGUUAACGGGUGAUGGCGUGCCUUUUGUAGAAUGAACCGGCGAGUUACGAUCCCGUGCAAGGUUAAGCAGAAGAUGCGGAGCCGCAGCGAAAGCGAGUCUGAAUAGGGCGAAUUGAGUACGUGGUCGUAGACCCGAAACCAGGUGAUCUACCCAUGUCCAGGGUGAAGUUCAGGUAACACUGAAUGGAGGCCCGAACCCACGCACGUUGAAAAGUGCGGGGAUGAGGUGUGGGUAGGGGUGAAAUGCCAAUCGAACCUGGAGAUAGCUGGUUCUCUCCGAAAUAGCUUUAGGGCUAGCCUCAAGGUAAGAGUCUCGGAGGUAGAGCACUGAUUGGACUAGGGGCCCCUACCGGGUUACCGAAUUCAGUCAAACUCCGAAUGCCGAUGACUUAUCCUUGGGAGUCAGACUGCGAGUGAUAAGAUCCGUAGUCGAAAGGGAAACAGCCCAGACCGCCAGCUAAGGUCCCAAAGUAUACGUUAAGUGGAAAAGGAUGUGGAGUUGCUUAGACAACCAGGAUGUUGGCUUAGAAGCAGCCACCAUUUAAAGAGUGCGUAAUAGCUCACUGGUCGAGUGACUCUGCGCCGAAAAUGUACCGGGGCUAAACGUAUCACCGAAGCUGCGGACUGUUCUUCGAACAGUGGUAGGAGAGCGUUCUAAGGGCUGUGAAGCAAGACCGGAAGGACUUGUGGAGCGCUUAGAAGUGAGAAUGCCGGUAUGAGUAGCGAAAGAGGGGUGAGAAUCCCCUCCACCGAAUGCCUAAGGUUUCCUGAGGAAGGCUCGUCCGCUCAGGGUUAGUCGGGACCUAAGCCGAGGCCGAAAGGCGUAGGCGAUGGAUAACAGGUUGAUAUUCCUGUACCACCUCCUCACCAUUUGAGCAAUGGGGGGACGCAGGAGGAUAGGGUAAGCGCGGUAUUGGAUAUCCGCGUCCAAGCAGUUAGGCUGGGAAAUAGGCAAAUCCGUUUCCCGUGAAGGCUGAGCUGUGAUGGCGAGCGAAUUAUAGUAGCGAAGUUCCUGAUUCCACACUGCCAAGAAAAGCCUCUAGCGAGGUGAGAGGUGCCCGUACCGCAAACCGACACAGGUAGGCGAGGAGAGAAUCCUAAGGUGAUCGAGAGAACUCUCGUUAAGGAACUCGGCAAAAUGACCCCGUAACUUCGGGAGAAGGGGUGCUCUGUUAGGGUGCAAGCCCGAGAGAGCCGCAGUGAAUAGGCCCAGGCGACUGUUUAGCAAAAACACAGGUCUCUGCGAAGCCGUAAGGCGAAGUAUAGGGGCUGACGCCUGCCCGGUGCUGGAAGGUUAAGAGGAGCGCUUAGCGUAAGCGAAGGUGCGAAUUGAAGCCCCAGUAAACGGCGGCCGUAACUAUAACGGUCCUAAGGUAGCGAAAUUCCUUGUCGGGUAAGUUCCGACCCGCACGAAAGGCGCAACGAUCUGGGAACUGUCUCAACGAGAGACUCGGUGAAAUUAUAGUACCUGUGAACGGAAAGACCCCGUGGAGCUUUACUGCAGCCUGAUAUUGAAUGUUGGUACAGCUUGUACAGGAUAGGUAGGAGCCUUGGAAACCGGAGCGCCAGCUUCGGUGGAGGCAUCGGUGGGAUACUACCCUGGCUGUAUUGACCUUCUAACCCGCCGCCCUUAUCGGGCGGGGAGACAGUGUCAGGUGGGCAGUUUGACUGGGGCGGUCGCCUCCUAAAAGGUAACGGAGGCGCCCAAAGGUUCCCUCAGAAUGGUUGGAAAUCAUUCGCAGAGUGUAAAGGCACAAGGGAGCUUGACUGCGAGACCUACAAGUCGAGCAGGGACGAAAGUCGGGCUUAGUGAUCCGGUGGUUCCGCAUGGAAGGGCCAUCGCUCAACGGAUAAAAGCUACCCCGGGGAUAACAGGCUUAUCUCCCCCAAGAGUCCACAUCGACGGGGAGGUUUGGCACCUCGAUGUCGGCUCAUCGCAUCCUGGGGCUGUAGUCGGUCCCAAGGGUUGGGCUGUUCGCCCAUUAAAGCGGUACGCGAGCUGGGUUCAGAACGUCGUGAGACAGUUCGGUCCCUAUCCGUCGCGGGCGCAGGAAAUUUGAGAGGAGCUGUCCUUAGUACGAGAGGACCGGGAUGGACGCACCGCUGGUGUACCAGUUGUUCUGCCAAGGGCAUCGCUGGGUAGCUAUGUGCGGACGGGAUAAGUGCUGAAAGCAUCUAAGCAUGAAGCCCCCCUCAAGAUGAGAUUUCCCAUUCCGCAAGGAAGUAAGAUCCCUGAAAGAUGAUCAGGUUGAUAGGUCUGAGGUGGAAGUGUGGCGACACAUGGAGCUGACAGAUACUAAUCGAUCGAGGACUUAACCAA
This 2905-nucleotide ribosomal RNA is filed under the name Bacillus velezensis. RNAcentral describes it as "23S ribosomal RNA". It matches the Rfam family "Bacterial large subunit ribosomal RNA". Lineage: Bacteria; Bacillati; Bacillota; Bacilli; Caryophanales; Bacillaceae. The record is from RNAcentral.